Molecule: ribosomal RNA, 467 nt
Filed under: uncultured bacterium
Lineage: Bacteria
Description: partial 16S ribosomal RNA
Rfam family: Bacterial small subunit ribosomal RNA
Source: RNAcentral
GACGAACGCUGGCGGCGUGCUUAACACAUGCAAGUCGAACGGAAAGGCCUCUUUCGGGGGGUACUCGAGUGGCGAACGGGUGAGUAACACGUGAGUAACCUGCCCUUGACUUUGGGAUAACUUCAGGAAACUGGGGCUAAUACCGGAUAGGAGCUCCUGCUGCAUGGUGGGGGUUGGAAAGUUUCGGCGGUUGGGGAUGGACUCGCGGCUUAUCAGCUUGUUGGUGGGGUAGUGGCUUACCAAGGCUUUGACGGGUAGCCGGCCUGAGAGGGUGACCGGCAACAUUGGGACUGAGAUACGGCCCAGACUCCUACGGGAGGCAGCGGUGGGGAAUAUUGCACAAUGGGUGGAAGCCUGAUGCAGCAACGCCGUGUGCGGGAUGACGGCCUUCGGGUUGUAAACCGCUUUCGCUCAUGACGAAGCUUUGUGUGACGGUAGUGGGUAAAGAAGCACCGGCUAACUACGUG